GAUCCUGGCUCAGGAUGAACGCUAGCUACAGGCUUAACACAUGCAAGUCGAGGGCAGCAUUAGAUUAGCUUGCUAAUUUAGAUGGCGACCGGCGCACGGGUGAGUAACGCGUAUCCAACCUUCCCCCUGCUCAGGGAUAGCCCGGUGAAAACCGGAUUAAGACCUGAUAGUUUCACUAGAUGGCAUCUGACGGUGAAUAAAGGUUUCGGCAAGGGAUGGGGAUGCGUCUGAUUAGCUUGUUGGCGGGUAACGGCCCACCAAGGCGACGAUCAGUAGGGUUCUGAGAGGAAGGUCCCCCACAUUGGAACUGAGACACGGUCCAAACUCCUACGGGAGGCAGCAGUGAGGAAUAUUGGUCAAUGGGCGGAGGCCUGAACCAGCCAAGUAGCGUGCAGGAAGACGGCCCUAUGGGUUGUAAACUGCUUUUGUGCGGGAAUAAAGUCAGGGACGCGUCCCUGUUUGCAUGUACCGCAAGAAUAAGGACCGGCUAAUUCCGUGCCAGCCGCUGC
This 509-nucleotide ribosomal RNA is filed under the name uncultured bacterium. RNAcentral's name for it is "bacterial SSU rRNA". It matches the Rfam family "Bacterial small subunit ribosomal RNA", at positions 15 to 518 of the family's 1533-position model. The record is from RNAcentral.